Molecule: long non-coding RNA, 356 nt
Organism: Diceros bicornis minor
Lineage: Eukaryota; Metazoa; Chordata; Mammalia; Perissodactyla; Rhinocerotidae
Exons: 3
Source: RefSeq, a predicted model, not a curated record
AUAAACAUCUCAUGCAGCACCUGUUUUAUUUUAUAGGCUCUAUAAUCACAGUGACAUUCUGAAAGAAGACCUUGAAGCCUGUGGAACAGCUGUCCUUCACCAGCCUCCGAGACUCUUACCUGGAGGUGGCAGCCAUGAAAAGCAAGUCAGAUCUGAACAAGCGUCAGCCUCAGGCUUGUUGAGGGCACAGUUGGGUCAGCACAUGGCCACCUUGAAAGAACGUGAUAAUUCUAUCACAGAAGAGGUAGCUAAGAAGUCUGAAGUUUUCCUAGUCAAAAACGUGGACCAGAGGACAGGGGCAGCAGCGUUAUUGAAAAAAGCCCCUACAGAAGAGUGUGACGAUAGUUCGGCCGUUC